This 497-nucleotide ribosomal RNA is filed under the name uncultured bacterium. RNAcentral describes it as "partial 16S ribosomal RNA". It matches the Rfam family "Bacterial small subunit ribosomal RNA", at positions 28 to 507 of the family's 1533-position model. The record is from RNAcentral.
GAUGAACGCUGGCGGCGUGCCUAAUACAUGCAAGUCGAGCGAACGGACGAGAAGCUUGCUUCUCUGAUGUUAGCGGCGGACGGGUGAGUAACACGUGGAUAACCUACCUAUAAGACUGGGAUAACUUCGGGAAACCGGAGCUAAUACCGGAUAAUAUUUUGAACCGCAUGGUUCAAAAGUGAAAGACGGUCUUGCUGUCACUUAUAGCUGGAUCCGCGCUGCAUUAGCUAGUUGGUAAGGUAACGGCUUACCAAGGCAACGAUGCAUAGCCGACCUGAGAGGGGGAUCGGCCACACUGGAACGGAGACACGGUCCAGACGACUACGGGAGGCAGCAGUAGGGAAUCUUACGCAAUGGGCGAAAGCCUGACGGAGCAACGCCGCGUGAGUGAUGAAGGUCUUCGGAUCGUAAAACUCUGUUAUUAGGGAAGAACAUAUGUGUAAGUAACUGUGCACAUCUUGACGGUACCUAAUCAGAAAGCCACGGCUAACUACGUG